Molecule: long non-coding RNA, 965 nt
Organism: Drosophila pseudoobscura
Lineage: Eukaryota; Metazoa; Arthropoda; Insecta; Diptera; Drosophilidae
Exons: 2
Source: RefSeq, a predicted model, not a curated record
GGUCGAGACGAAAUAUAGUACUUUUGAAUAGAAAAUGCCCACAUAGGUAGAGUUUAUGGGAGAAGUAAAGUAUGCUUCUAGACCAACUACUAGUUGGCUAUGACAAAUUUUAUUUUCUAUUUCAUGUUUAAUGUUUAGAGUUCAACAAUGUACAGUUAAAUUUCUCCAAUGAGUAGUUCGAAUUUAUCACCAUAUUUUUAAGAUGGCCCAGAAAGUUUUCGAACGUAAAUGAGCUUAUCUGUAGAGUCUGUAGAGAACCAUAUUGAAUGGUUUGUUUGCUUAAAUGUGUUAAGCAAUCAAAAUUAAAAGUGAGCAUUGCGUUCAUAUAGAAAGACAGAACUUGACUUACAAAAUUAUCCAGCAAGCUGGAUGCAGGAGAAUUUUGCGUGACACAAUAUUUUUUGCGUAGAAGAAGUCUUAUCGCUAAGCUUAGCAGUAAAAAAUGAUUAUACAAGCCGGUAUCUAAAAUGCCUUUCAAUGCUAUUGGUCCAGUAUAUAAUAAAAAGUGGCUUUAAAUCGGUCGAGAUUAUCUAGAGAUCUAACUUCUCUAUUGAGAUAUUCCCUAGAUAAAAACUUUUUAAGAGACAAGUUUAUUAUUAAGGGAAGCUAUGGAGUCCCGUUUCAAAUUGAUGACCUUUUUCUCUUACUAAAGUCCCUAGGACCGUUUUUAUGACGUAAAGACAAACUACGUGCAUGUAGUCUAAGGGAAACUGAUUUACCAUAUUCAUUGGCAUGUUAUCAAGAACAUGUUUGCCUUGGAUGUUGUGGUUUUCAGGUUGAAUACGAUUUCGGAAGCUAUCAUUGGUUCGUGUUGCAGGAAUAAAAACCCGAACGAUAUUUCACAGCCAAUAUAAAAGCGCGGGCUGGCGCAUCGCAUAUGAUUGCUCUCAUAGAUAUUCGGAAACACAUAUUUUGAAACAUCAUCCCUUCCUUUAUCAAUUCUCCUUACUCGUAGACACAUUCUU